AGAUGAUAUGCAUAGUACUCCCAGAACUCAUUAAGUUGGUAGUACUGUGCAUAUCAUCUAU
This 61-nucleotide microRNA precursor is filed under the name Homo sapiens (human). RNAcentral describes it as "Hsa-Mir-1278_pre stem-loop". It matches the Rfam family "mir-1278 microRNA precursor family", at positions 10 to 68 of the family's 77-position model. Lineage: Eukaryota; Metazoa; Chordata; Mammalia; Primates; Hominidae. The record is from RNAcentral.